This 74-nucleotide transfer RNA is filed under the name Buchnera aphidicola (Sarucallis kahawaluokalani). RNAcentral describes it as "tRNA-Met". It matches the Rfam family "tRNA". Rfam says of the family: Transfer RNA (tRNA) molecules are approximately 80 nucleotides in length. Their secondary structure includes four short double-helical elements and three loops (D, anti-codon, and T loops). The record is from RNAcentral. Lineage: Bacteria; Pseudomonadati; Pseudomonadota; Gammaproteobacteria; Enterobacterales; Erwiniaceae.
GGCUACGUAGCUCAGUUGGUUAGAGCGCAGCACUCAUAACGCUGAGGUCAGGGGUUCGAUUCCCUUCGUAGCUA